UACGGGGGGGGCAAGCGUUGUUCGGAAUUACUGGGCGUAAAGGGCUCGUAGGUGGCCAACUAAGUCAGACGUGAAAUCCCUCAGCUUAACUGGGGAACUGCGUCUGAUACUGGAUGGCUUGAGUUUGGGAGAGGGAUGCGGAAUUCCAGGUGUAGCGGUGAAAUGCGUAGAUAUCUGGAGGAACACCGGUGGCGAAGGCGGCUAUCUGGACGGUUUCUGACACUAAGACUCGAAAGCGUGGGGAGCAAACAGG
Molecule: ribosomal RNA, 253 nt
Filed under: uncultured bacterium
Lineage: Bacteria
Description: partial 16S ribosomal RNA
Rfam family: Bacterial small subunit ribosomal RNA
Source: RNAcentral